GUAGAUUGGGGGUGAUUUUCUAGUUUUAGGACUUGGCCACAGUCUGGGCUGAACCCCAGAAGGGGUUUAGGGACUAGGGCUCCUCUUUGGAAACUUCGAACCGACCCCGUCUAGCCACGCCCCUUGUGCUCCUUGCCACCGGAUUUAUAAAUGACCCCACCUAUUUCUUAGGAAGGCCAAAAGUGCAGUUUGACAGUCCAGAAUGGGAGAGGACUCCAGGCUCAGCCAAGGAGCUCCGGAGACCUCCGCCCAGAAGCCCCCAGCCUGCGGAGCGUGUGGACCCAGCCCUGCCCCUGGAGAAACAGCCGUGGUUUCAUGGCCCCCUGAACAGGGCGGAUGCAGAGAGCCUCCUGUCCCUCUGCAAGGAAGGCAGCUACCU
Molecule: small RNA, 379 nt
Filed under: Pan troglodytes (chimpanzee)
Lineage: Eukaryota; Metazoa; Chordata; Mammalia; Primates; Hominidae
Description: processed transcript
Source: RNAcentral